RNAcentral lists this ribosomal RNA (497 nucleotides) under uncultured bacterium. RNAcentral describes it as "partial 16S ribosomal RNA". It matches the Rfam family "Bacterial small subunit ribosomal RNA", at positions 28 to 507 of the family's 1533-position model. The record is from RNAcentral.
GAUGAACGCUGGCGGCGUGCCUAAUACAUGCAAGUCGAGCGGAAAGACCCGGAGCUUGCUGCGCUGACGUUAGGCGCAGGGGGGUGAGACACGCGUGGAUCCCCCACCUAUAUUUGUGGUAACACUACGAGAAAGCGGCUCUUAUAGCAUAUGAUAUCUUGCACCGCAUUGGUGGUUGGUGAAAGUCGGCUUUGGUGUCUCUUCUCGAUGGAUAUGCGCUGCAUGAGCUAGUUGGGAAGGUAACGGGUUAUCAAGGGUAGGAUGCGUAGCCGACCUGAGAGGGUGAUCGGCCACACUGGAACUGAGACACGGUCCAGACUCCUACGGGAGGCAGCAGUAGGGAACCUUCCGCAAUGGGCGAAAGCCUGACGGAGCAACGCCACGUGAGUGAUGAAGGUCUUGGGAUCGUAAAGCUCUGUUAUUAGGGAAGAACAAAUGUGUAAGUAACUAUGCACGUCUUGACGGUACCUAAUCAGAAAGCCACGGCUAACUACGUG